Molecule: long non-coding RNA, 4828 nt
Organism: Motacilla alba alba
Lineage: Eukaryota; Metazoa; Chordata; Aves; Passeriformes; Motacillidae
Exons: 5
Source: RefSeq, a predicted model, not a curated record
GAACACAUGACAGGUAGACAGUGUAGUUUCCACAGCAUGGCUCUGCCACAAAAAGGCAGACACCAGUCUUAGUGGUCAUUAGCAAAUACCUGGAUUAAAUUCCACAUGGACAAAAUCUGAUUAUUGAGACAGCUUUCUACAAAUGAUGAGCAGACUGAUUAUAGAAAAGCACAGAGGAUUAUAGGAGAAUGACCGUAAAAAAGGGCAGAGUUAGGGAGCUUAAUCUGAGCAGAGUGGAACAGGACAACUGCAGCCAAGUAGGGUAGGAAGGCUCCAUUGGAGGAUAACAAAGUAGGCCAAUAGUUUUGGCAGUGGGAAAAGGAGCAUGAGCCAAGUCUAUCAGGAGGAAAAGAAGAGCGAGAAGAACUGUUCCUCUGAUGAGGAGUGGAAUGAGCCAGCCUUUUUUAAAGAGAGAAUCAGACCAUACUCAGCAGAGGAGAGAAUUAUAUAGCAACAGCACUUGAAAAGCCUGAAAUCAAUAUUACUUGAUUGGAAAGAGCUGUUAGAAGACAACAAGCAGUCCAUAAAGCCAGCAUGAAGCACGGCCCAGAGCUGUCAGUGGCAACCUCAAGAUCAGAAGGUUCUCACAGCUCACCAGAAGAAAUGCCAGAGGACACAUUCAUCAGGUCCCCAGUAUAUGGAUGAGGAACACCUUAGGAAAUACAAAAUAAAGCAAUGUGUAAGCCAACCCUUCCAACUCCAGUGGGGGAAGGUACCUAGAAAAAGCACAAAAGUAAAUGCUGUUGACCUCCCUGACAAGAGACUGAAAAGGAACCUGCUCUGGGAAGCCAAGACUUUUUGCCUCUGUAACAACUGGGUCUUCAUGACAGUUUAAGCAAUAAAAUAGUUUAAUCUCUCUGGAUUGCAAAAACCGAAACCCCUGACAAGGACAAGAGAUUGGCAGAAUUCGUAAUAAUAUAUUUUUACUUAUGUCACAUAUUUGUAAUUUCAAGGACAUGAUUCACAAUGACCCGAUUGUAAUGUUGCAUAGGCAUUGUUCUACACUGAUUUGUAUUAAUAUCUACAGAAGAGUAGAGUUUUCCUCUCCUAGUACUGCUUCAGAGUAUAUGCUUGUCAUUAAAAUUCUGCUCACAGAUGUGGGUUAAAAUAUCUCUAACCUUUACAAAUGUAUUAUGUGGCACUACUGACAUAGCUUUUAUUGCAGAUAAAAUCUAUAACAAAUCCUGUGUGUGACAGGAGAGGAACAUGAUUUUGUAUUAAACUCAGAUGAUAGAGAUGCAUUCCUUGCUUGUACUUUUAAAAUGCUUUGGAUAUAGUAACAAUGAGUUAGGCUUUCAACUCCAUUGCUGUUAGAAAGCCAUUACAUCUAUUUUUUUUUCCCUGCCUUGGUAGUUAAAUAAAUUCUUCUUAAGCUGUCUUUCAGGAGAGGACAUAAAAGAGUGGAAAUAUUUCAACUCACUUCCAAUCUUGGUUGAACACAUCAGAAGUAAACAAGAAAUCAGUUUAUUAGGAUGGACUAUGUAACAUCCAUCAGUGAAAAUCUUUUAUAACCUGAAUAUAACACAGACCAUGGUCCUCUUCUUCUGUUUCCUAACUUCAUAUUCACAUCUAAAAGGGUCUCACAUUAAUGUAUUGAUUUCCCAAGUAUGUUUUGCACAUUCCACUGUUUAAACUGUGUUUUGAACAUCACCUGACUUGUCCAUACAUGCUGUGGGAAGGAAGUGCUUUCCCUAUUGCUUUAGUCACAGUACUGUAAUCCUGGAUAUUUUAAAACAAGAAGGCUUCAUCAGUUUGCAAAGUGAAGGCAUGUGUUGAAACUAGUGUUUAAACUAGACAAUAUUCCCCAAAAAUUGUUUUUUGUUUUUUUUUUCUGCAAUAACAUUGUCCUUUUUGCUUAUAUCAACUGAGUCUGAUUCCACCCUUGUCACAAAAUAAUGGUUUCCAUUGGAUAAGGUGAGAGCUCCCUUUGGUACCUAUGGGCAUAGAUAGCUAACACCAAAAUCUUACAACCAGAUCUAGUACUGUAACUUUGUUCUUAAGAGAGGUGAAGCUGUCAUUGUGCAGCUGGAGGAGAUGGCUUGCUGUGGGUUGAGACCUAAAUACCACAACUUUGCUGUUCUUACCAUGCAGAGAUGGAGAACUUGACCAGAUUGUGACGUCAAACACACUUUAGGAUGAGCCUGUCCUAAGGAGCAUAAUACAGUAUGGUCAUCCAUUUCACAGCAGAGUUGGGAUCUGUGUCAGAAAUUUUGACCAUAUUAAUGCAUUAUCCAUAUGUUUAUAUAAAUACAAAGGCUUACUACUUAUUAUUCUGUUUUUAAAGGAAAGAAGGUCAUACUAAGUGAUUGUUGUUGUUUCAUCUGUCAAGGUGGACUCACAAAAUAUAUUUGAAUCUCAUAUUUACUGGUGGAAAGAGCAAUAUCUGUGUUAGUAGAUUACCUUUAAUUCCAAUGUGUUUUCUUUGGGAAAAAGAACUGGAAAAGGGAGGAAAUUUAACCAAAUAAUAAAUUAAAUUAAAUUAACUAAUAAUGAUUAUGGCAUUUUUAGUUUUGGUUUUAAAAACCAGAGUGCAACAUAGGGAUAUAGGAAGUGUAUCUAAUGUGAAAUCCAGUGCCAGGGCUCUUCAGAUCAGUCCAAACAGGUUUGUGUGCACUGGAAAAAUGCUUGUAAGGGGCAGGGAGUAUUUCAUUCAGAUGCUGUCAUGUCUCUGGAUCUUUGGUUCUCAAGGACUUCUGUGUCCUCGUACAGCCCCUAGCACCUUGGAUAUGCAGGAGCAGUCUGGGGUUGUGGAGUAAUUCAUUAUACAUGCAGGGAGGAAUAAACUCUGAAAAGUUUAUUAAAGACAAUUGUCUGCAGAAGCUUGCAGAAGCAGUCCUUAUUGACAGAUAAAGAUUGAGAGAAAAUCACAUAGAGUUUUGUUAAUCAGUAAUGCUCAGUGAUGAAAGGGUGUGGGGAAGAGAACCAAACAAAAAGCAAUGAAAAGAUAGCAUGCAAAGUUACAGAAUUACUGAAUUUAGAAAGGGAUGAGGGGUGGGAUUUGUCUGACUAAGUUGAUAUACUCUUGAACUUGAAGGUUCACAGUGUUUUUUCCAUACAGAAGGGAGGUAUUUUGCAAGAGAAUUCUCAGUCUGUGGUGUAUCAAAAUAGAUGUUGUCCAGGACUGAGGUGUUGUCCAGUGCGCGCUGCUCACCUCUGCUGGCAUGGGACAGGGCUGGGCAGAGCUGGGAGAGAGCCCUCCAGGGCACUGGCUGCACACCCAGCAUGCAAGCAGAAAAGGUGGCAGCAAGCAGAAAAGGUGACAGCAGGCACUCCAGUGCUGUGCUCUUCUUAUUUAACCCUUCCUUCAGUGCAGCAAGAAUUUGUCCCAGGAGCUGGGGGCUGGAUAUUGAAGUGGAAGAGCCGGGAUAUGGCCCACCACUGAGUGACCAUCUGCACCUCUCCCCUCACUGCAGGGCUGCUGGAUGCCAGCACUGCUGAGAGCUAAGGAACAGGUCAUGACAACAGAUGCUUUGGGUCCCACAAGUGGGUAGUCAAUUCCUCCCAGUGCCCUCUCACAGUUAAUAAAGGCUUGUAAAGUCUUAAGUCAACUUCUGUUCCUAGAGAAUCCCAUGUUAAGUAUGUAUAUAUUUUGACACUCCGAUUUGGACACAGCAGAAUGUACACUCAGUGACAUUUCCUCAUCUGAAAACUGUGAAUUAAAAUCAGGAACUCUCAAGUUUUUUCAGGGUUUCAAAUUAUUUAAUUGCAAGGUUUUGCCCCUCACAGAUCAAUCAUUUAGGCAGAGAACUGAAAAACAAAAUCUUUGUAAAAUAAAGUAUUUUACCAGUGACAUAAAUGAAAUGUUUCUUUUGAGAGUUGCGAGAAUGUGAGGGGCUUCUUGAUGGAAAGAGGAUUAUGUUGAUAAAAGGUCCCCAACCCUUCUCUUGAAUUUUCUCUGCAGUUCACUUACUUAAUAAGAUUAUGGGAACAGAUACCAUUUUUUUGUUGUUGUUGCUUUAAAUUUGUUUAAUUUAGUCAUGAUGCUAAAUCAUUUCCAGAAUUCUUCAUGCAGUAAUUUGAGAUUUUCAGAGAAUAUUUAUUGAGGUCUUUUCUACAUACCGAAUUUCCCUACCUUUAGAGGGGGAAUCAUGAUGCCAAAUCUACUUUUUGGAGAAAGUCUAAAGUUUGGGAAAUUCUAAAGAAAUAUACACAUACAUAAUAUUGGCAUUACCAUACAGUUCCUAAUAAUUUAUUUAUUUAUUCAAACAUACAUUGUAUCAUUAAAAACUUCCUGAUAUUAUUUCCAAUUAUAUUUAUUAAAUAUAUUAUUCAUAUACAUUUUAAUAUCAACACCAAAAUCCUGAUGAAAAAUGCCCAAAAGGUUUCCAAUUAAUGUUAUUCACUUAUUGUCAGUUUCUAACACCACUGACAGCAAUUUCAUAGAGAUGUUAAUGAAUUUUACAUUAUAUUCAUGAGAAUGAAUGUCUUUCUCAUCAAAUAAGAUGUACGAGUUUCUGGCCAGAAAAGUGUAACUGAGUUUGCAAAAAUGUUAAGAUGUAGCAUAUUUCUGAGAGAACAAUUUGCAGUGUGUAUGGAAGAAAGCUGAUAGCACUUGAUUAUAUUGUAAAUUACAUAAUUCUUCUCCAUAUACUAUACUUCUACUGAAAUGGGAGAGGGAGUUUGCCUCGGUUUAAUGCCUUUUUCAGAGAUACUGAACACAGAUGGAUACAUUUAUAUCAGUCUAAAUUUUUGUGUCAAAGAAGAUAGAAGUCACUAUAAAUUAAAUUCCAAGGCAUUUCAGUCUUCACUAUCUAAACUCUGGAUGAAAAAAGUAAUAAACAUCUACAGUAAAAAAACUGUUUUUAUUUCAUUUUGCUUUGGUAUAAAA